AUACUUACCUGGCAGAGGAGAUACCAUGAUCAUGAAGGUGGUUUUCUCUGGGUGAGGCUCAUCCACUGCACUGCGGGUCUGCUGACCUCUGCGAUUUCCCCAAAUAGGAGAAACUCGACUAUAAUUUGUAGUAUAAAUGUCACUUUGGCUUC
RNAcentral lists this small nuclear RNA (152 nucleotides) under Chelonia mydas (Green sea turtle). RNAcentral describes it as "U1 spliceosomal RNA". It matches the Rfam family "U1 spliceosomal RNA". Rfam says of the family: U1 is a small nuclear RNA (snRNA) component of the spliceosome (involved in pre-mRNA splicing). Its 5' end forms complementary base pairs with the 5' splice junction, thus defining the 5' donor site of an intron. There are significant differences in sequence and secondary structure between metazoan and yeast U1 snRNAs, the latter being much longer (568 nucleotides as compared to 164 nucleotides in human). The record is from Rfam by way of RNAcentral. Lineage: Eukaryota; Metazoa; Chordata; Testudines; Cheloniidae.